UACGUAGGGGGCGAGCGUUGUUCGGAUUUACUGGGCGUAAAGAGCGCGUAGGUGGUUCGAUAAGUCGGAGGUGAAAGCCCUCGGCUCAACCGAGGAUCCGCGUCCGAUACUGUUGGACUUGAGUGCGGGAGAGGAGAGCGGAAUUCCCAGUGUAGCGGUGAAAUGCGUAGAUACUGGGAGGAACACCGGUGGCGAAGGCGGCUCUCUGGACCGUUACUGACACUGAGGCGCGAAAGCUAGGGGAGCAAACGGG
Molecule: ribosomal RNA, 253 nt
Filed under: uncultured bacterium
Lineage: Bacteria
Description: partial 16S ribosomal RNA
Rfam family: Bacterial small subunit ribosomal RNA
Source: RNAcentral